RNAcentral lists this ribosomal RNA (361 nucleotides) under Pseudomonas sp. PC48. RNAcentral's name for it is "bacterial SSU rRNA". It matches the Rfam family "Bacterial small subunit ribosomal RNA", at positions 191 to 533 of the family's 1533-position model. The record is from RNAcentral. Lineage: Bacteria; Pseudomonadati; Pseudomonadota; Gammaproteobacteria; Pseudomonadales; Pseudomonadaceae.
GUCCUACGGGAGAAAGCAGGGGACCUUCGGGCCUUGCGCUAUCAGAUGAGCCUAGGUCGGAUUAGCUAGUUGGUGAGGUAAUGGCUCACCAAGGCGACGAUCCGUAACUGGUCUGAGAGGAUGAUCAGUCACACUGGAACUGAGACACGGUCCAGACUCCUACGGGAGGCAGCAGUGGGGAAUAUUGGACAAUGGGCGAAAGCCUGAUCCAGCCAUGCCGCGUGUGUGAAGAAGGUCUUCGGAUUGUAAAGCACUUUAAGUUGGGAGGAAGGGCAUUAACCUAAUACGUUAGUGUUUUGACGUUACCGACAGAAUAAGCACCGGCUAACUCUGUGCCAGCAGCCGCGGUAAUACAGAGGGU